Molecule: transfer RNA, 75 nt
Filed under: Burkholderiales bacterium
Lineage: Bacteria; Pseudomonadati; Pseudomonadota; Betaproteobacteria; Burkholderiales
Also listed under: 2 other names
Description: tRNA-Val
Rfam family: tRNA
About the family: Transfer RNA (tRNA) molecules are approximately 80 nucleotides in length. Their secondary structure includes four short double-helical elements and three loops (D, anti-codon, and T loops).
Source: RNAcentral
GGGUGGUUAGCUCAGCGGUAGAGCAUUGCCUUCACACGGCAGGGGCCACAGGUUCGAUCCCUGUACCACCCACCA